UUUUUUUUUCGAUUUGUUUUCUUAUUAUUUAUAGAGAAAAUACAUCGUAGCAAGAGCUCUCAAAGAUAACGUAGCAAUAUCGCGAUUGUUAAAGGAAGAAAUUUUCAAUGUGCAGACUGUUUAUGUCAACAAGAGUUCUUUGAUUAUACAUAAAAAUUAGAAAUCUAAUCAAUCAACUAGAUUACACUAUUCACAUUGUUUUUAUCGUUCUAAGGAAUGAUCUUCGUUCGACACGAAAGAUUUACUCGAAAAUCUUUGAUUUGUGUGAUCAGUCUUGGACUUCAUGGUGUGGUGUCUAGCAGUAUAUCCCGGUUAUAGAAGUAUUACCUCAGAUAUUACGAAAUGUUCCAUGAACUGAUGAGAACGGCACCUUGGAAUUACAGGCAAAGAAAUUGUCAAUGUCCAAACUGUUCGAGCGCAUAUCUUAAUUUAUGUAAAUCUUAAUGUCGAUUCAUUAUCAACGUACAAUUUAUUUAUUUAUUUAUUUAUUUAUUUAUUUAUUUAUUUAUUUAUUUAUUUAUUUAUUUAUUUAUUUUUUCUUAUCAGUUCCUGAGACCAUUAGACUACACCCAAUUUUAAUUUCUUUUUCUCUUUUUCUUUCUAAAUUAUCCUGUUGUCUUAAAAAAUUCUUUAUAAAAAAUCAUUCAAUUAAUUUAUAUUCCAAUGUAAAUAAGAAUGCAUUAAUAAUUGGAUUACCAAAAAUAUCUCAAGAUUAUUAUAUAUAAUUGGAUUUAUUUGUAGUACAAAAAAAAAAAAAAAAGAAAAAAAAAGAAAAAAAGAAUUCCUCGAGAUUGCUGUCUCAUUGUUUCCUAAUAAAUGAUAGAACUCUGUUGUGAAUAAAAAAAAUAAAUAUCUGUAAUGAUAGAAACAGCAACGAAUAAAUGUACCUGUUCUAUGUAUAAAUAUG
Long non-coding RNA from Vespa mandarinia (Asian giant hornet), 907 nucleotides. The record is from RefSeq and is a predicted model, not a curated record. Lineage: Eukaryota; Metazoa; Arthropoda; Insecta; Hymenoptera; Vespidae.